This 221-nucleotide ribosomal RNA is filed under the name uncultured bacterium. Its description in RNAcentral is "partial 16S ribosomal RNA". It matches the Rfam family "Bacterial small subunit ribosomal RNA", at positions 32 to 261 of the family's 1533-position model. The record is from RNAcentral.
AAUCAACGCUGGCGGCGUGCCUAACACAUGCAAGUCGCACGAGAAAGGGGAGCAAUCCCUGAGUAAAGUGGCGCACGGGUGAGUAACACGUGAAUCAUCUACCUCCGAGUGGGGAAGUAACUGAGAGAAAUACUUAGCUAAUACCGCAUAACACUUACGAGUCAAAGCAGCAAUGCGCUUGGAGAGGAGUUCGCGGCCGAUUAGUUAGUUGGCGGGGUAAG